UCCAGUGAUACAAGGGCAAUUGUUCCACUAUUUUUCUCUCUCCUCUCUGUUACUUGGCUGGAUUUCUUCAGACUUUAACCUGGAGUUUCUUAAUUAAGUCUCCACCUGGUUGGACUCACUCUGCUUUAUGCAGUUUCAAGUGGUAUAAGGCAUGUGAGACCAGUGGUAUGUCAGGCAUGGUGGGAACUGCAUCUAGCCAGAUCUAGCUCAGCUGAAGCUUUCUGUCUUCCUCAGCCUGUCCUGCCUCCUCAUCACUGUUCCAGCUGGGGGAUGCAAUUUUCUCAAGCCUGCCUGGAUUGCUAUUUGUGUGAUCAUUCCUUAACUCAUUUCUCUCAAAAUGACCCUGCUUAUUUUAAGCGGUUUAAGGUGUGAUUCCAUGGCAGUUUCAGAUGAUCUAAAUCGUGACUUCACCCACCCCCUCCUCCCGUUCCCAGCUCCAUGUUCCCAUCGCUUUUCCUGUGCUGGCACUUUCCUGUGUCUCACAGCGCAUUGCCAGCGAGGCUGCUUUUGGCUGUACAGCCUCCAAACAGGAUGUUACGUUAUUAUAUGCAAUUCUCUUCCCUGAUGUACUAUCUGAGCGUUGGCCAAACUACCAGUGCACCACUAUGAUUCAUGCAGAACACUUAAUCUCAGUGGAGCCAAAGUGUUACAGGUUUGCCUGUGAGAGACUUCUGGACACUGAAAUUCUUUUAA
This is a long non-coding RNA of Pygoscelis adeliae (Adelie penguin), 693 nucleotides long. RefSeq lists it as uncharacterized. The transcript has 3 exons. NCBI's taxonomy places the organism in Eukaryota, Metazoa, Chordata, Aves, Sphenisciformes, Spheniscidae. The record is from RefSeq and is a predicted model, not a curated record.